UAAUAUACCUACUUCUUCUUUUUUGGGUUCAGGGGAUUGAUUGUGGAGCACUCCAGGUCUACGCAUGACACGCAUCUCAACACAAGCGCCGCGACGUCGUUUUACUCAGAAUCCUGAUUGCUGCAUGCAGUGUACUGUAGGAGUAAUUUGUAAAGUAGAGGUAACGUGGAGAGGGCGUGCAUGCCCAUCAAGAUCCGCUAAACAAAUCGGUUACAUACAUACACAUGAUACAUCAAGAUCCGCUAAUUAAUCAACGCAUUAAGAAACCGUGCGCCGGUCGCGUUCGGCGCACCUGGACAACUCAACCCAGUCGCCGCAGCUAGCGAGGGGUAGAUACUAGAUAGAGUACGAAUAAGCCUCCCGUUCAAACGCCAAACCAAAACUAUCUUUUGACGGCGAAAGCCAGAGGAGAGCCAUCGUCGGAUCUGGACAAAAGCCGGUAUGGUGAUGGCCAAGUGGGAAAACCGUAGGGAAGAGGGUCAAAGGGCGGCGGGGUCGUCCGGUGCCGUUUCCUGGGGCGAGCAGUUGGUUGACGGCUGCCCGGGCGAGUGGGCUGCUCUGCUGGUGCUGGUGGCGAUGCGUCGUCCGUCGUUGCCGGGGCGGCGAGGCAACGGGCUCCGCCCAGUCGAUUCGCCUCCGGUGGCCGACACGCAAAGAGACUCUGAUGAUGGUGACGCCUUCUCGAUCUAGUAUUAGAAAAGAACAAAAGGUUUGGGUGACAGAGAUGCGUCGCUGUGGAUGGCUUUCCGUCAGUUAACCUCCUAAUCUCUCUC
This 773-nucleotide long non-coding RNA is filed under the name Hordeum vulgare. Its description in RNAcentral is "long non-coding RNA (HVUL_LNC008613)". Lineage: Eukaryota; Viridiplantae; Streptophyta; Magnoliopsida; Poales; Poaceae. The record is from RNAcentral.